Molecule: ribosomal RNA, 704 nt
Filed under: Pantoea sp. L2.19
Lineage: Bacteria; Pseudomonadati; Pseudomonadota; Gammaproteobacteria; Enterobacterales; Erwiniaceae
Description: bacterial SSU rRNA
Rfam family: Bacterial small subunit ribosomal RNA
Source: RNAcentral
UAUAUACCUGGUAUCACGCCGUAACGAUGUCGACUUGGAGGUUGUGCCCUUGAGUGAGUGGCUUCCGGAGCUAACGCGUUAAGUCGACCGCCUGGGGAGUACGGCCGCAAGGUUAAAACUCAAAUGAAUUGACGGGGGCCCGCACAAGCGGUGGAGCAUGUGGUUUAAUUCGAUGCAACGCGAAGAACCUUACCUACUCUUGACAUCCAGAGAACUUUCCAGAGAUGGAUUGGUGCCUUCGGGAACUCUGAGACAGGUGCUGCAUGGCUGUCGUCAGCUCGUGUUGUGAAAUGUUGGGUUAAGUCCCGCAACGAGCGCAACCCUUAUCCUUUGUUGCCAGCGGUCCGGCCGGGAACUCAAAGGAGACUGCCAGUGAUAAACUGGAGGAAGGUGGGGAUGACGUCAAGUCAUCAUGGCCCUUACGAGUAGGGCUACACACGUGCUACAAUGGCGCAUACAAAGAGAAGCGACCUCGCGAGAGCAAGCGGACCUCAUAAAGUGCGUCGUAGUCCGGAUUGGAGUCUGCAACUCGACUCCAUGAAGUCGGAAUCGCUAGUAAUCGUAGAUCAGAAUGCUACGGUGAAUACGUUCCCGGGCCUUGUACACACCGCCCGUCACACCAUGGGAGUGGGUUGCAAAAGAGUUUGUAGCUUAACCUCGGGAAGGCGCCUACACUUUGUGAUUCUGACUGGGUGAUCCCAAAG